UAUGUGAUCGUCUCUCGCAUAUCAAUAAGCGGAGGAAAAGAAACUAACAAGGAUUCCCCUAGUAACGGCGAGUGAAGCGGGAAGAGCUCAAAUUUGAAAUCUUAAAGGGUUUCCCUUUACGAAUUGUAGUUUAAAGAAGUGUUUUCUGUUGAGGUUUUGGUAAAAGUUCUUUGGAAUAGGACAUCAUAGAGGGUGAGAAUCCCGUAUUUGACCUUUACUUUCAACUUUGUGAUACACUUUCAAAGAGUCGGAUUGUUUGGGAAUGCAGUCCAAAAUGGGUGGUAAAUUUCAUCUAAAGCUAAAUAUAGGCGAGAGACCGAUAGCGAACAAGUACCGUGAGGGAAAGAUGAAAAGAACUUUAAAAGAGAGUUAAACAGUACGUGAAAUUGUCAAAAGGGAAGCGUUUGACACCAGUGUUGUUUUUCUGAAAAUCAAUUAAAGAACUGUUCAUGCUAAGCUGUUUAGACUUUAUCAGCUAACUGUUUAGUUUUGAGCUUUUCUUUAAUGCACUUUUCAGUUAACAAGUCAACAUCAAUUUCUUUUGCUGUAAAAAAGCUCGAGGAAGGUGGCUUGAGAUUCGUCUUAAGUGUUUAUAGCCUCUUGCCUAUGCAGUCGGAGAGAUUGAGGUCUGCAGCGUAGAUCCUUCGGGGCUAAAUGCAUUUGUGCUAAGUUAUAGCAUUUUAUAGACAACUUGUUGACUAUGAUUUGUCUUGUAGCUUACUCGCUUAUGUUAUUUUACCUACGCUUAGGAUGUUGAUCUACAGAGCGAGAGU
This 773-nucleotide ribosomal RNA is filed under the name uncultured Neocallimastigales. RNAcentral's name for it is "partial large subunit ribosomal RNA". It matches the Rfam family "Eukaryotic large subunit ribosomal RNA", at positions 24 to 635 of the family's 3401-position model. Lineage: Eukaryota; Fungi; Neocallimastigomycota; Neocallimastigomycetes; Neocallimastigales. The record is from RNAcentral.